GCCUGCGGAGGGAUCAUUG
RNAcentral lists this ribosomal RNA (19 nucleotides) under Cytospora leucostoma. RNAcentral describes it as "partial 18S ribosomal RNA". The record is from RNAcentral. Lineage: Eukaryota; Fungi; Ascomycota; Sordariomycetes; Diaporthales; Cytosporaceae. RNAcentral also lists the same sequence under 8 other names.